Molecule: small RNA, 239 nt
Filed under: Pan troglodytes (chimpanzee)
Lineage: Eukaryota; Metazoa; Chordata; Mammalia; Primates; Hominidae
Description: 7SK RNA (ENSPTRG00000038565.2)
Rfam family: 7SK RNA
About the family: 7SK was discovered as an abundant small nuclear RNA in the mid-70s but a possible function has only recently been suggested.
Source: RNAcentral
GGAUCCGAAGGUGAUUUGGCUGCACUAUCUGCCACCUCUUUGUUCACCAGAGUUGAAACUGCUGAUCUGGUUGCCUAGACUGGUGUUUCCUUCCUCCCUCCUCGCACCCCUCCAGAACCUGAGCACUCGGUCAAGAGGAUGACCUUCCCUUAUAGAAAAGAACCAGUCUUCUGUAAAGAAUAGAAGAGUAGCUGCACUUGCCUGCUAGAAAUUCCAGACAAUUUCUCAAGAUCCUUUUU